RNAcentral lists this transfer RNA (74 nucleotides) under compost metagenome. RNAcentral describes it as "tRNA-Phe". It matches the Rfam family "tRNA". From Rfam's summary of the family: Transfer RNA (tRNA) molecules are approximately 80 nucleotides in length. The record is from RNAcentral.
GGUCCGGUAGCUCAGCUGGUAGAGCACCUGCCUGAAGAGCAGGGUGUCGGGGGUUCAAGUCCCUCUCGGACCAC